UGGGGAAUAUUGGACAAUGGGGGAAACCCUGAUCCAGCGACGCCGCGUGUGUGAAGAAGGCCUGCGGGUUGUAAAGCACGUUCGGUGGGAACGAAAUAUGCCGGGCUAAUACCCCGGUAGGCUGACGUUACUCAAUGAAGAAGCACCGGCUAACUCUGUGCCAGCAGCCGCGGUAAUACAGAGGGUGCGAGCGUUAAUCGGAAUUACUGGGCGUAAAGCGCACGUAGGUGGCGACGUAAGUCGGGUGUGAAAGCCCCGGGCUCAACCUGGGAACUGCGUUUGAAACUGGGGAGCUAGAGUGUAGAAGAGGGGGGUGGAAUUCCAGGUGUAGCAGUGAAAUGCGUAGAGAUCUGGAGGAACACCGAUGGCGAAGGCAGCCCCCUGGGCUAACACUGACGCUCAUGCACGAAAGCGUGGGGAGCAAACAGGAUUAGAUACCCCCGUAGUCCCUGAGCGGGCUGGCAAGGCGCAU
RNAcentral lists this ribosomal RNA (472 nucleotides) under uncultured bacterium. Its description in RNAcentral is "bacterial SSU rRNA". It matches the Rfam family "Bacterial small subunit ribosomal RNA", at positions 355 to 825 of the family's 1533-position model. The record is from RNAcentral.